RNAcentral lists this ribosomal RNA (406 nucleotides) under uncultured bacterium. Its description in RNAcentral is "partial 16S ribosomal RNA". It matches the Rfam family "Bacterial small subunit ribosomal RNA", at positions 30 to 526 of the family's 1533-position model. The record is from RNAcentral.
AUUGAACGCUGGCGGCAGGCCUAACACAUGCAAGUCGAACGAGUGGCGGAAGGGUGAGUAAUGUCUGGGAAACUGCCUGAUGGAGGGGGAUCACUACUGGAAACGGUAGCUAAUACCGCAUACCAUCGGAUGUGCCCAGAUGGGCUUAGCUAGUAGGUUGGGUAAAGGCUAACCUAGGCGACGAGCCCUAGCUGGUCUGAGAGGCGGACCAGCCAAAAUGGAACUGGGACACGGUCCAGACUCCGACGUGAGGCAGCAGUGGGGAAUAUUGCACAAUGGGCGCAAGCCUGAUGCAGCCAUGCCGCGUGUAUGAAGAAGGCCUUCGGGUUGUAAAGUACUUGCAGCGGGGAGGCGUUACCCGCAGAAGAAGCACCGGCUAACUCCGUGCCAGCCGCCGCGGUAAUUC